GGCCAGACUCCUACGGGAGGCAGCAGUGGGGAAUAUUGCACAAUGGGGGGAACCCUGAUGCAGCGACGCCGCGUGUGGGAAGACGGUCCUCUGGAUUGUAAACCACUGUCCCCAGGGACGAAAAUGACGGUACCUGGGGAGGAAGCUCCGGCUAACUACGUGCCAGCAGCCGCGGUAAUACGUAGGGAGCGAGCGUUGUCCGGAAUUACUGGGUGUAAAGGGAGCGUAGGCGGGCGAGAAAGUUGAAUGUUAAAUCUGCCGGCUUAACUGGUAGCUGCGUUCAAAACUUCUUGUCUUGAGUGAAGUAGAGGCAGGCGGAAUUCCUAGUGUAGCGGUGAAAUGCGUAGAUAUUAGGAGGAACACCAGUGGCGAAGGCGGCCUGCUGGGCUUUAACUGACGCUGAGGCUCGAAAGCGUGGGGAGCAAACAGGAUUAGAUACCCUCGUAUUU
This 449-nucleotide ribosomal RNA is filed under the name uncultured bacterium. RNAcentral describes it as "bacterial SSU rRNA". It matches the Rfam family "Bacterial small subunit ribosomal RNA", at positions 329 to 795 of the family's 1533-position model. The record is from RNAcentral.